Salvelinus sp. IW2-2015 is the source of this 373-nucleotide long non-coding RNA. RefSeq lists it as uncharacterized. The transcript is spliced from 4 exons. The record is from RefSeq and is a predicted model, not a curated record. NCBI's taxonomy places the organism in Eukaryota, Metazoa, Chordata, Actinopteri, Salmoniformes, Salmonidae.
UUCUUCUCUUUUAACGUCACAGGUAUGCUCUUUACUGCCAAUGAAGACCCCAAGAUGAAUACGUUCUACAUCCCUGCACUGGGGCCUGCUCCUCGCUGAUGCUCUUUCCUGGACAACCUGACAGAGGAGCUGGAGGAGAGCCCUGAGAGUACCACCUACGAUGAUUACAAGUUUGUCACCCGCAAGGACCUGGAGAACCUGGGUCUGUCUCACCUGGUGGGAUCUUCUCUACUGCGGGCCUACAUGCAUGGCUUCUUGAUGGACAUCAGACUGUACCAUAAGGUGAAGACCAUGGCCAAUCCAUUUGCCUACGAUGAGUACCGCAAGGACAAGAUUCGCCAAAAGAUAGGAGUCCAGGGCGCAGAGAAUACAA